GCAGAGUAGACGGUAUGCGUUGAAGCAAACAAGCUUCUGAAGUGUUAAGGGAUGGGAAGUUGCCUUUAAACGAAUGACUUACGUCAGCGAUAUACUGUUGCAUCCGCUGC
RNAcentral lists this non-coding RNA (110 nucleotides) under human gut metagenome. RNAcentral's name for it is "THF riboswitch". It matches the Rfam family "THF (Tetrahydrofolate) riboswitch aptamer". From Rfam's summary of the family: THF riboswitch presents a pseudoknot that joins P1-P2 and the loop of P3 and two THF binding. The record is from RNAcentral.